CUUGGUAGACAGAUUAUCAAC
This 21-nucleotide microRNA is filed under the name Ananas comosus (pineapple). Its description in RNAcentral is "microRNA s1429_c073b". Lineage: Eukaryota; Viridiplantae; Streptophyta; Magnoliopsida; Poales; Bromeliaceae. The record is from RNAcentral.